CCAACAGUUAUAACGGAAAAGGAACGUCACAAAGUCAACGUCAGCACGCAAGCCCCGCCCACUGCCUGCUCAGGUACCUUGUCAGUGUAAUGUCAUCAAUAUAGUGGACCAAUGUGACAUUUUGUGGAAGAGACAAGUGAUCAAGAUCUCUUUAGGGGAUGGAGAGUUGGCUCAAAGGUGUCACUACAUAGCUCCAGCUGUCCUGGAACUAGGUAACCAGGCUCGCUGAAAGGCAGGAGAUCCAUCCACAUGCCUCUGACCCUGAAAUCAAACUGACCAGCUACCCAACUUCAUCUUAAUAAAAGAGCAGAGCCAUCACUGUUCAAGGUUUUAUUUGGCAUGACACUUGGGUGGUUGGUUCCAUCAUCCAUAUGCAGAUCUUACAUCUCACAUAAUAUUGCAAUGCACACUACAGACACAUAUAAUAUAUAAAAUA
Long non-coding RNA from Mus musculus (house mouse), 436 nucleotides. RefSeq annotates it as predicted gene, 39011. The transcript is spliced from 3 exons. The record is from RefSeq and is a predicted model, not a curated record. NCBI's taxonomy places the organism in Eukaryota, Metazoa, Chordata, Mammalia, Rodentia, Muridae.